RNAcentral lists this ribosomal RNA (467 nucleotides) under uncultured bacterium. RNAcentral's name for it is "partial 16S ribosomal RNA". It matches the Rfam family "Bacterial small subunit ribosomal RNA", at positions 28 to 507 of the family's 1533-position model. The record is from RNAcentral.
GAUGAACGCUGGCGGCGCGCCUAACACAUGCAAGUCGAACGAUUAAAGCACCUUCGGGUGUGUAUAAAGUGGCGAACGGCUGAGUAACACGUGGGCAACCUGCCCCUUUCAUUGUGAUAGCCACGGUAAACCGUGGAUAAUACCGAAUACUUCGAGACUUCCGCAUGGAAGACUCGAGAAAGCUCCGGCGGAGAGGGAUGGGCCCGCGGCCUGUUAGCUUGUUGGUGGGGUAACGGCCUACCAAGGCAAUGAUGGGUAGCUGGGUUGAGAGACCGACCAGCCAGAUUGGGACUGAGACACGGCACAGACUCCUACGGGAGGCAGCAGUGGGGAAUCUUGCACAAUGGGCGAAAGCCUGAUGCAGCGACGCCGCGUGCGGGAUGAAGGCCUUCGGGUUGUAAACCGCUUUCAGCAGGGACGAGGCGAAAGUGACGGUACCUGCAGAAGAAGCCCCGGCUAACUACGUG